CCUACGGGAGGCAGCAGUGGGGAAUAUUGCGCAAUGGGCGAAAGCCUGACGCAGCGACGCCGCGUGAGGGAUGAAGGUCUUCGGAUCGUAAACCUCUGUCAGCAGGGAAGAACGGUCAUUGUGCUAAUUAGUAGCGAAUCGACGGUACCUGCAAAGGAAGCACCGGCUAACUCCGUGCCAGCAGCCGCGGUAAUACGGAGGGGGCGAGCGUUAACCGGAAUUACUGGGCGUAAAGCGCUCGUAGGCGGUAUGUCAAGUCAAGGGUGAAAUCCCCGCGCUCAACGUGGGAACUGCCUUUGAAACUGGCAGACUGGAGUGUGUGAGAGGAUAGUGGAAUUCCAGGUGUAGGAGUGAAAUCCGUAGAUAUCUGGAGGAACAUCAGUGGCGAAAGCGACUAUCUGGCACAUAACUGACGCUGAGGAGCGAAAGCGUGGGUAGCAAACAGGAUUAGAUACCCGUGUAGUC
Molecule: ribosomal RNA, 465 nt
Filed under: uncultured bacterium
Lineage: Bacteria
Description: partial 16S ribosomal RNA
Rfam family: Bacterial small subunit ribosomal RNA
Source: RNAcentral